Molecule: long non-coding RNA, 1379 nt
Filed under: Linum usitatissimum (flax)
Lineage: Eukaryota; Viridiplantae; Streptophyta; Magnoliopsida; Malpighiales; Linaceae
Description: long non-coding RNA (LUSI_LNC005776)
Source: RNAcentral
UAAUUCAUCUUGUAGAUGUGUCCCCGUUAAGAAAAGAAUGGAAGAUUUUUGUUUGUGUUUGUUCGAUCGAAGAAUCUCUUCUUGAUAAUGCCUUUGUUAAGGAUCUUGUUGUGCAUGAGCUCGCAUAAGAAGCCUUGAUUCUUCACGAUUACGAUUCGAAGAUACGAAAAGUAAUUACAGUGAGAAAGAACGAAAAACAGAGCUCAGAGUUACUAGAGGAGCAAAUUGAGCCUCAUGGUGAAUCUACCAUGGAAAGCCAGAAGAUUUCAGAACCUGGAGUUUGGAGUUAGUACAACAACUGCUGAUCUUGUCGAAUCCUCUCGCAUUCAAAGUCUCCCGAUCUAUAUUCCCCGCACAAGUUGCUAGAUCAGAGCAACUCUGUUGGUUUACGAGCUUUACGCCAUCUUCGAGACACCAUCGUCCGGUCUCACUGCAACGAUAUUUCAAGCGUCACACUGCUGAAAUUUGAUUGCAAAAUAACAAAGAGAAGCCGAACAACGCUACAAACUCGUCCAGAGGAUCGGACAUAUUCAAACUUAAAUCCUGUCUCAAAUUUCGAUCGAAAAUAAGCCGGAUCAAAAACUGCAAAUCGAUUAGAGAACAUAUUCGAAUUCGGCAGAAGAAGGUAUGGCAAUUGGCGAAAGCAUGUCAACGAACCUUUUCCGAGCAUUGACAAGGAAGUUACUUCCACUAUGCGUUUUCUUUUAAUCAAACAGAACUCUUCGCCGGGACUCUUUCAUCGUCGUCUCCAGCUGCAGAGCUGCUCACAUCCCGAAAAUGAGAAAACAACAGAAUAUAUCAGAAAGCUUGAUCAUACAUGAAAAAACAAGAGAGAGACUGUUAAGGAAUUCGCACUUACACUUACAGUACACUCCGUGAUCCGAAGACGACGGCGAUUCAAGCUCGACGGCGGCAAAGACGGAGGAGAGAAGAAGAGAACAAGAGUAAAGGAUCAAAUUAUCCAUCGUUGCGUUUGCCUCUGAAAUUUUCAUUUCAUAAAUAAACCAGAUACCAACAGGCUCUGAUGUUGGGCUUUGUAUCCUUCUUGUGGACCAGUCGGCCGAGAAAAACUCUUAUCCAAUUUUCUGCUAAUGUUGUGGGCCCGUGGUAGGCUCCAUAAAUUUGAGAUUACACGCUGUAUAUCGUUACGUCACAAAUUUGUUAUUUACGAACACGGAUCAUUACAAAUUUAUGAAAAAAGAUUUCGUUUAAAUUAAGGUGACGGUGUCACGUCUAUUUUUCGUUCAUUAACGAUGUUCGAUGCAUGAUUGAUAUGUAGCCUAUUCUCGUAGGCAUGUGUGGCCAACUUAAUCUCUUUGUUAAAUCGUCUCGUUAGGUACAAACCAAUAAUGUGCUCUUCUAUGAAAUGUUGACAAUAC